CGGAAGGUGGCUCAGCCUGGUAGAGCACUACGUUCGGGACGUAGGGGUCGUCGGUUCGAAUCCGAUCCUUCCGACCA
This 77-nucleotide transfer RNA is filed under the name Alphaproteobacteria bacterium. RNAcentral describes it as "tRNA-Pro". It matches the Rfam family "tRNA". From Rfam's summary of the family: Transfer RNA (tRNA) molecules are approximately 80 nucleotides in length. Their secondary structure includes four short double-helical elements and three loops (D, anti-codon, and T loops). Further hydrogen bonds mediate the characteristic L-shaped molecular structure. tRNAs have two regions of fundamental functional importance: the anti-codon, which is responsible for specific mRNA codon recognition, and the 3' end, to which the tRNAs corresponding amino acid is attached (by aminoacyl-tRNA synthetases). tRNAs cope with the degeneracy of the genetic code in two manners: having more than one tRNA (with a specific anti-codon) for a particular amino acid; and 'wobble' base-pairing, i.e. permitting non-standard base-pairing at the 3rd anti-codon position. Lineage: Bacteria; Pseudomonadati; Pseudomonadota; Alphaproteobacteria. The record is from RNAcentral. RNAcentral also lists the same sequence under 1 other name.